GAAAGCGACUGUCUCUGUGCUAAGUAGUACUGCCGCAGGGAGUGCUGCGGACUGAUUCUAUCCCCUGCGCAGUCCUACUUACAACAGGGAACAUUUCUAAU
RNAcentral lists this microRNA precursor (101 nucleotides) under Branchiostoma belcheri (Belcher's lancelet). RNAcentral describes it as "microRNA bbe-mir-252b precursor". Its record names the gene bbe-mir-252b. The stretch from base 12 to 90 matches the Rfam family "mir-252 microRNA precursor family". Lineage: Eukaryota; Metazoa; Chordata; Leptocardii; Amphioxiformes; Branchiostomatidae. The record is from miRBase by way of RNAcentral.